RNAcentral lists this ribosomal RNA (291 nucleotides) under Staphylococcus aureus. Its description in RNAcentral is "partial 16S ribosomal RNA". It matches the Rfam family "Bacterial small subunit ribosomal RNA", at positions 1 to 280 of the family's 1533-position model. Lineage: Bacteria; Bacillati; Bacillota; Bacilli; Caryophanales; Staphylococcaceae. The record is from RNAcentral.
UUUUAUGGAGAGUUUGAUCCUGGCUCAGGAUGAACGCUGGCGGCGUGCCUAAUACAUGCAAGUCGAGCGAACGGACGAGAAGCUUGCUUCUCUGAUGUUAGCGGCGGACGGGUGAGUAACACGUGGAUAACCUACCUAUAAGACUGGGAUAACUUCGGGAAACCGGAGCUAAUACCGGAUAAUAUUUUGAACCGCAUGGUUCAAAAGUAAAAGACGGUCUUGCUGUCACUUAUAGAUGGAUCCGCGCUGCAUUAGCUAGUUGGUAAGGUAACGGCUUACCAAGGCAACGAU